GCAUACUGUUACCAUUUCCUCAUUAUUGAGUCACUCAGGUGGACUUCAGAUUUUAGAAAUAAAAUAUCAGUCUGAUAUGGUCAAACUCCUCUGUACAACCCAAAUGUGAAUCUAGUCAGCAUGAUUAAAAAAUUAAUUAAUCUAAUACAUGAUAAAAUGA
This 160-nucleotide small RNA is filed under the name Ochotona princeps (American pika). Its description in RNAcentral is "Beta-globin co-transcriptional cleavage ribozyme (ENSOPRG00000023581.1)". The record is from RNAcentral. Lineage: Eukaryota; Metazoa; Chordata; Mammalia; Lagomorpha; Ochotonidae.